CAUGGCUACAUGUCAAUCUUGACUGAGUUAAAAGAGGCUACAUGGCUACAUGUCAACCCUGACUGAGUUAAAAGGGGUCUACAUGGCUGACUGUAACCUGACUCUACCCCUGCACAUCGACCCAGUACUGGUACCCCGUGUAUAUAGCCAAGUUAUUGGUACUCAUUGUGUAUUUAUUCCUUGCGUUAUUAUUUUUCUGUUAUUUUUCUCUAUGCAUUGUUCGGAACGGCCCGUUAGUUAAAUAUUGUAUUAUUAGUCUACACCUGUUGUUAACAAAGCAUGUGACAAAUACAACUUGAUUUGAUGGAGACUCCUUUCCGCAUGCAGCCCUGUCAGGCGGAGGAGGCCAUGUUUUUGCCCUAGUACUACACGCCUGAUUCCACUAAUCAACUCAUCAUCAAACCUUUAAAUCAAGUGUGUAAGGCUUGGGAAAUACUGCCCCAGAUGUACAUCUGCAUUAGAAGCUGAGUCUGUCAGGUACUUUGUCCCCCUGCCUAGGAGUCAGACAGACACAUCCUAUAGGCCUAACCCUCCCAGCGAUAGGCCUGAACCUGGUGGUGGAUGAAGCUGGUAUGAGUCAUAUUGCCUGAGAGAACACAGUUAUCAAAUGAAAUGUUCUCUAAACACCUCAUUACAUACUAGACCUACAACAUCCAUUCUCUGGAUUAGAAAUGUCAAGCAAACCCAGUUCAUGACAUGUUGUAGUAGAUAGACAGGCAGGCUAUGUUUUGGCCUAACCAGCACAAAUUCAGAGGGAAACAUUGCCCUCUUGUGACUUGAAUAUUGCAUAAAUAUUUAUUCAGGCCUAUAUUAUUCUGGAGACAUAUAGCCAGUAUAUUGCAUAAAUAUUUAUUCAGGCCUAUAUUAUUCUGGAGACAUAUAGUCAGUAUAUUGCAUAAAUAUUUAUUCAGGCCUAUAUUAUUCUGGAGACUUAUAGCCAGUAUAUUGCAUAAAUAUUUAUUCAGGCCUAUAUUAUUCUGGAGACAUAUAGUCAGUAUAUUGCAUAAAUAUUUAUUCAGGCCUAUAUUAUUCUGGAGACAUAUAGUCAGUAUAUUGCAUAAAUAUUUAUUCAGGCCUAUAUUAUUCUGGAGACAUAUAGC
This is a long non-coding RNA of Oncorhynchus tshawytscha (Chinook salmon), 1100 nucleotides long. Lineage: Eukaryota; Metazoa; Chordata; Actinopteri; Salmoniformes; Salmonidae. The record is from Ensembl.